ACCUACAUCCUGGUGAUUCAACAGAGCUGUGAUGGACAAUGUACCAGGUCUACAUCCUGGGGAGUCAACAGGGCUGUGAUGGACAAUGUACCAGGUCUACAUCCUGGUGAUUCAACAGGGCUGUGAUGGACAAUGUACCAGACCUACAUCCUGGUGAUUCAACAGAGCUGUGAUGGACAAUGUAUCAGGUCUACAUCCUGGUGAUUCAACAGGGCUGUGUUGGACAAUGUACCAGGUCUACAUCCUGGUGAUUCAACAGGGCUGUGAUGGACAAUGUACCAGACCUACAUCCUGGUGAUUCAACAGGGCUGUGAUGGACAAUGUACCAGACCUACAUCCUGGUGAUUCAACAGGGCUGUGUACCAGGUCUACAUCCUGGUGAUUCAACAGGGCUGUGAUGGACAAUGUAACAGGUCUAUAUCCUGGUGAUUCAACAGGGCUGUGAUGGACAAUGUAACAGACCUACAUCCUGGUGAUUCAACAGAGCUGUGAUGGACAAUGUACCAGGUCUACAUCCUGGUGAUUCAACAGGGCUGUGAUGGACAAUGUACCAGGUCUACAUCCUGGUGAUUCAACAGGGCUGUGAUGGACAAUGUACCAGGUCUACAUCCUGGUGAUUCAACAGGGCUGUGUUGGACAAUGUACCAGGUCUACAUCCUGGUGAUUCAACAGGGCUGUGAUGGACAAUGUACCAGGUCUACAUCCUGGUGAUUCAACAGGGCUGUGAUGGACAAUGUACCAGACCUACAUCCUGGUGAUUCAACAGGGCUGUGAUGGACAAUGUACCAGACCUACAUCCUGGUGAUUCAACAGGGCUGUGAUGGACAAUGUAACAGGUCUACAUCCUGGUGAUUCAACAGAGCUGUGAUGGACAAUGUACCAGGUCUACAUCCUGGUGAUUCAACAGAGCUGUGAUGGACAAUGUACCAGACCUACAUCCUGGUGAUUCAACAGGGCUGUGAUGGACAAUGUACCAGACCUACAUCCUGGUGAUUCAACAGAGCUGUGAUGGACAAUGUACCAGACCUACAUCCUGGUGAUUCAACAGGGCUGUGAUGGACAAUGUACCAGGUCUACAUCCUGGUGAUUCAACAGGGCUGUGAUGGACAAUGUACCAGGUCUAUAUCCUGGUGAUUCAACAGAGCUGUGAUGGACAAUGUACCAGACCUACAUCCUGGGGAUUCAACAGAGCUGUGAUGGACAAUGUACCAGGUCUACAUCCUGGUGAUUCAACAGGGCUGUGAUGGACAAUGUACCAGACCUACAUCCUGGUGAUUCAACAGAGCUGUGAUGGACAAUGUACCAGGUCUACAUCCUGGGGAGUCAACAGGGCUGUGAUGGACAAUGUACCAGGUCUACAUCCUGGUGAUUCAACAGGGCUGUGAUGGACAAUGUACCAGGUCUACAUCCUGGUGAUUCAACAGGGCUGUGAUGGACAAUGUACCAGACCUACAUCCUGGUGAUUCAACAGGGCUGUGAUGGACAAUGUACCAGACCUACAUCCUGGUGAUUCAACAGGGCUGUGAUGGACAAUGUAACAGGUCUAUAUCCUGGUGAUUCAACAGAGCUGUGAUGGACAAUGUACCAGGUCUACAUCCUGGUGAUUCAACAGGGCUGUGUUGGACAAUGUACCAGGUCUACAUCCUGGUGAUUCAACAGGGCUGUGAUGGACAAUGUACCAGGUCUACAUCCUGGUGAUUCAACAGGGCUGUGAUGGACAAUGUACCAGGUCUACAUCCUGGUGAUUCAACAGAGCUGUGAUGGACAAUGUACCAGACCUACAUCCUGGUGAUUCAACAGGGCUGUGAUGGACAAUGUACCAGGUCUACAUCCUGGUGAUUCAACAGAGCUGUGAUGGACAAUGUACCAGACCUACAUCCUGGUGAUUCAACAGGGCUGUGUACCAGGUCUACAUCCUGGUGAUUCAACAGGGCUGUGAUGGACAAUGUAACAGGUCUAUAUCCUGGUGAUUCAACAGGGCUGUGAUGGACAAUGUAACAGACCUACAUCCUGGUGAUUCAACAGAGCUGUGAUGGACAAUGUACCAGGUCUACAUCCUGGUGAUUCAACAGGGCUGUGAUGGACAAUGUACCAGGUCUACAUCCUGGUGAUUCAACAGGGCUGUGAUGGACAAUGUACCAGGUCUACAUCCUGGUGAUUCAACAGGGCUGUGUUGGACAAUGUACCAGGUCUACAUCCUGGUGAUUCAACAGGGCUGUGAUGGACAAUGUACCAGGUCUACAUCCUGGUGAUUCAACAGGGCUGUGAUGGACAAUGUACCAGGUCUACAUCCUGGUGAUUCAACAGAGCUGUGAUGGACAAUGUUCCAGGUCUACAUCCUGGUGAUUCAACAGAGCUGUGAUGGACAAUGUACCAGACCUACAUCCUGGUGAUUCAACAGGGCUGUGAUGGACAAUGUACCAGACCUACAUCCUGGUGAUUCAACAGGGCUGUGAUGGACAAUGUAACAGGUCUACAUCCUGGUGAUUCAACAGAGCUGUGAUGGACAAUGUACCAGGUCUACAUCCUGGUGAUUCAACAGAGCUGUGAUGGACAAUGUACCAGACCUACAUCCUGGUGAUUCAACAGGGCUGUGAUGGACAAUGUACCAGACCUACAUCCUGGUGAUUCAACAGAGCUGUGAUGGACAAUGUACCAGACCUACAUCCUGGUGAUUCAACAGGGCUGUGAUGGACAAUGUACCAGGUCUACAUCCUGGUGAUUCAACAGGGCUGUGAUGGACAAUGUACCAGGUCUAUAUCCUGGUGAUUCAACAGAGCUGUGAUGGACAAUGUACCAGACCUACAUCCUGGGGAUUCAACAGAGCUGUGAUGGACAAUGUACCAGGUCUACAUCCUGGUGAUUCAACAGGGCUGUGAUGGACAAUGUACCAGACCUACAUCCUGGUGAUUCAACAGAGCUGUGAUGGACAAUGUACCAGGUCUACAUCCUGGGGAGUCAACAGGGCUGUGAUGGACAAUGUACCAGGUCUACAUCCUGGUGAUUCAACAGGGCUGUGAUGGACAAUGUACCAGGUCUACAUCCUGGUGAUUCAACAGGGCUGUGAUGGACAAUGUACCAGACCUACAUCCUGGUGAUUCAACAGGGCUGUGAUGGACAAUGUACCAGACCUACAUCCUGGUGAUUCAACAGGGCUGUGAUGGACAAUGUAACAGGUCUAUAUCCUGGUGAUUCAACAGAGCUGUGAUGGACAAUGUACCAGGUCUACAUCCUGGUGAUUCAACAGGGCUGUGUUGGACAAUGUACCAGGUCUACAUCCUGGUGAUUCAACAGGGCUGUGAUGGACAAUGUACCAGGUCUACAUCCUGGUGAUUCAACAGGGCUGUGAUGGACAAUGUACCAGGUCUACAUCCUGGUGAUUCAACAGAGCUGUGAUGGACAAUGUACCAGACCUACAUCCUGGUGAUUCAACAGAGCUGUGAUGGACAAUGUACCAGACCUACAUCCUGGUGAUUCAACAGGGCUGUGAUGGACAAUGUACCAGGUCUACAUCCUGGUGAUUCAACAGGGCUGUGAUGGACAAUGUACCAGGUCUACAUCCUGGUGAUUCAACAGGGCUGUGUUGGACAAUGUACCAGGUCUACAUCCUGGUGAUUCAACAGAGCUGUGUUGGACAAUGUAACAGGUCUACAUCCUGGUGAUUCAACAGGGCUGUGAUGGACAAUGUACCAGGUCUACAUCCUGGGGAUUCAACAGAGCUGUGAUGGACAAUGUACCAGGUCUACAUCCUGGUGAUUCAACAGGGCUGUGUACCAGGUCUACAUCCUGGUGAUUCAACAGGAAAUAGGCUUCUUGGAAAUGGAAUGCAUGUCCUGUAUUCACACUCAUAACAUGGAUUUAGUCAAUAACCUAUAGGAAUACAGUAGAAACCAUUGAGCUCAUUUACAAGGAAAUUAAUGUUUAACUUAAAAAGGAAGAUACACUUUUAGACAGAACAUGUGCUAUCUAGAACCUUUAAGGGGUCUUCAGCUGUCCCCAUAGGAGAACCCUUUAAUUAAGGGUUAUUCAGCUGUCCCCAUAGGAUAACCCUUUAAUUAAGGGGUAUUCAGCUGUCCCCAUAGGAGAACCCUUUAAUUAAGGGGUCUUCAGCUGUCCCCAUAGGAGACCCUUUAAUUAAGGGCUAUUCAGCUGUCCCCAUAGGAGAACCCUUUAAUUAAGGGUUAUUCAGCUGUCCCCAUAGGAGAACCCUUUAAGGGGUCUUCAGCUGUCCCCAUAGGAGAACCCUUUAAGGGGCUUUCAGCUGUCCCCAUAGGAGAACCCUUUAAGGGGUCUUCAGCUGUCCACAUAGGAGAACCCUUUAAUUAAGGGUUAUUCAGCUGUCCCCAUAGGAGAACCCUUUAAGGGGUCUUCAGCUGUCCCCAUAGGAGAACCCUUUAAGGGGUCUUCAGCUGUCCCCAUAGGAGAACCCUUUAAUUAAGGGUUAUUCAGCUGUCCCCAUAGGAGAACCCUUUAAGGGUUAUUCAGCUGUCCCCAUAGGAGAACCCUUUAAUUAAGGGUUAUUCAGCUGUCCCCAUAGGAGAACCCUUUAAUUAAGGGGUAUUCAGCUGUCCCCAUAGGAGAACCCUUUAAGGGUUAUU
Molecule: long non-coding RNA, 4598 nt
Organism: Salvelinus fontinalis (brook trout)
Lineage: Eukaryota; Metazoa; Chordata; Actinopteri; Salmoniformes; Salmonidae
Exons: 3
Source: RefSeq, a predicted model, not a curated record